Molecule: non-coding RNA, 26 nt
Filed under: Homo sapiens (human)
Lineage: Eukaryota; Metazoa; Chordata; Mammalia; Primates; Hominidae
Source: RNAcentral
UGGUUAGGCCUGGGAUUGAGCUAACC